This 396-nucleotide small RNA is filed under the name Pseudomonas sp. OF001. RNAcentral describes it as "CrcZ". It matches the Rfam family "Pseudomonas sRNA CrcZ". Lineage: Bacteria; Pseudomonadati; Pseudomonadota; Gammaproteobacteria; Pseudomonadales; Pseudomonadaceae. The record is from RNAcentral.
ACAACAAAAACAAGAACGCGGAACCAACAGAAUAAAAACAAGACGUAACGGCUCCAACACAACAAGAACAACAGGGUGGAGGCGCAACAAACUGAUUCUUUUGGAGAGGAGUUGCCCGACAGGGUUCUCCCCCGACCGGCCCGAGAACGAUAAAACUGCCCCGAGGCAGCGGCCAGCACCGGUCAGACCCGCAAGGGUGGCGGCAACAUCAGCGUCCAAAGGAAUCCGCUUGUUCUUGAGUCCCGUCUUGGGACUCCAGCCGGACCAUGACGUCCGGACGGGUGACCGACAAGAACAACAAGCCCGCAAGCACAAGAAGAACAAAGCACGACCGACUUGAAGGGGGAGCCUAUGGCUCCCCCUUGUGCUUUGUGGCGCCCACGUUGUGGCGCUCAC